Molecule: ribosomal RNA, 468 nt
Filed under: uncultured bacterium
Lineage: Bacteria
Description: partial 16S ribosomal RNA
Rfam family: Bacterial small subunit ribosomal RNA
Source: RNAcentral
GACGAACGCUGGCGGCGUGCUUAACACAUGCAAGUCGAACGGAAAGGCCCUGCUUUUGUGGGGUGCUCGAGUGGCGAACGGGUGAGUAACACGUGAGUAACCUGCCCUUGACUUUGGGAUAACUUCAGGAAACUGGGGCUAAUACCGGAUAGGAGCUCCUGCUGCAUGGUGGGGGUUGGAAAGUUUCGGCGGUUGGGGAUGGACUCGCGGCUUAUCAGCUUGUUGGUGUGGUAGUUGCUUACCAAGGCUUUGACGGGUAGCCGGCCUGGGAGGGUGACCGGCCUCAAUGGGACUGAGAGACGGCGCAGACUCGUACGGGAGGCAGCAGGGGGGAAUAUUGCACAAUGGGCGGAAGCCUGAUGCAGCAACGCCGCGUGCGGGAUGACGGCCUUCGGGUUGUAAACAGCUGUCGAAUGUGACGAAGAGUGAGUGACGGUAAUGGGUAAAGAAGCACCGGCUAACUACGUG